This 853-nucleotide ribosomal RNA is filed under the name Klebsiella aerogenes. RNAcentral's name for it is "bacterial SSU rRNA". It matches the Rfam family "Bacterial small subunit ribosomal RNA", at positions 531 to 1385 of the family's 1533-position model. The record is from RNAcentral. Lineage: Bacteria; Pseudomonadati; Pseudomonadota; Gammaproteobacteria; Enterobacterales; Enterobacteriaceae.
CCAAUGGUCGGUUCCCGGGUACUACUGGGCGUAAGCGCACGCAGGUGGUCUGUCAAGUCGGAUGUGAAAUCCCCGGGCUCAACCUGGGAACUGCAUUCGAAACUGGCAGGCUAGAGUCUUGUAGAGGGGGGUAGAAUUCCAGGUGUAGCGGUGAAAUGCGUAGAGAUCUGGAGGAAUACCGGUGGCGAAGGCGGCCCCCUGGACAAAGACUGACGCUCAGGUGCGAAAGCGUGGGGAGCAAACAGGAUUAGAUACCCUGGUAGUCCACGCCGUAAACGAUGUCGACUUGGAGGUUGUGCCCUUGAGGCCUUGCUUCCGGAGCUAACGCGUUAAGUCGACCGCCUGGGGAGUACGGCCGCAAGGUUAAAACUCAAAUGAAUUGACGGGGGCCCGCACAAGCGGUGGAGCAUGUGGUUUAAUUCGAUGCAACGCGAAGAACCUUACCUACUCUUGACAUCCAGAGAACUUUCCAGAGAUGCAUUGGUGCCUUCGGGAACUCUGAGACAGGUGCUGCAUGGCUGUCGUCAGCUCGUGUCGUGAAAUGUUGGGUUAAGUCCCGCAACGAGCGCAACCCUUAUCCUUUGUUGCCAGCAGUUAGGCCGGGCACUCUAAGGAGACUGCCAGUGAUAAACUGGAUGAAGGUGGGGAUGACUUCAAGUCAUCAUGGCCCUUACGGGUAGGGCUACACACGUGCUACAAUGGACCAUACAAAGAGCAGCCACCUCGCGAGGGCAAGCUGACCUCGUAAAGUGCGUCGUAGUCUGGAUUGCAGUCUGCAACUCGACUGCGCGAAGUGGAAUCGCUUCUAAUCAUAGAUCAGACUGCCCGGUGAUACUCCCCCCCGGGUCUAAAA